This 21-nucleotide small nuclear RNA is filed under the name Arabidopsis thaliana (thale cress). RNAcentral's name for it is "snRNA_18467". The record is from RNAcentral. Lineage: Eukaryota; Viridiplantae; Streptophyta; Magnoliopsida; Brassicales; Brassicaceae.
AAGAAAGGAGAAGAAGGAAAU